AAUUCUCAACCUUCCAACUUUUAUUAGCUUGGAUAGGCUUGGAUGUGGGGGUUGCAGGCUUCAUCAAUGAGGUCAGCUCUUCUUAAAUGCAUUAGCGGAACUUUUGUGGACCGUCUAUUGGUGUGAUAAUUAUCUACGCCGUGGAUGAGAAACAGCUUUAUCAAGUUCAGCUUCUAACCGUCCAUUGACUUGGACAAUUUUGACA
Molecule: unclassified non-coding RNA, 205 nt
Filed under: uncultured Agaricales
Lineage: Eukaryota; Fungi; Basidiomycota; Agaricomycetes; Agaricales
Also listed under: 1 other name
Description: sequence contains ITS2
Source: RNAcentral